AGCGCAGGCGGUGCGGCAAGUCUGAUGUGAAAGCCCGGGGCUCAACCCCCGGUACUGCAUUGGAAACUGUCGUACUAGAGUGUCGGAGGGGUAAGCGGAAUUCCUAGUGUAGCGGUGAAAUGCGUAGAUAUUAGGAGGAACACCAGUGGCGAAGGCGGCUUACUGGACGAUAACUGACGCUGAGGCUCGAAAGCGUGGGGAGCAAACA
This 208-nucleotide ribosomal RNA is filed under the name uncultured bacterium. RNAcentral describes it as "partial 16S ribosomal RNA". It matches the Rfam family "Bacterial small subunit ribosomal RNA", at positions 568 to 774 of the family's 1533-position model. The record is from RNAcentral.